This 303-nucleotide unclassified non-coding RNA is filed under the name plant metagenome. RNAcentral's name for it is "partial contains 5.8S ribosomal RNA, internal transcribed spacer 2, and large subunit ribosomal RNA". The stretch from base 1 to 105 matches the Rfam family "5.8S ribosomal RNA", at positions 50 to 154 of the family's 154-position model. The record is from RNAcentral.
GAAAUGCGAUAAGUAGUGUGAAUUGCAGAAUUCAGUGAAUCAUCGAAUCUUUGAAAGCACAUUGCGCCCUUUGGUAUUCCUUAGGGCAUGCCUGUUCGAGCGUCAUUUAAACCUUCAAGCUCAGCUUGGUGAUGGGUGACUGUCCUCCCCUCGCGGGGGGGACUCGCCUCAAAAACAUUGGCGGCCGGUACAUUGGCUUCGAGCGCAGCAGAAACGCGGUCUCGAGUCCGGUGGAUCGGCUCCCAUAAGCCUUCUUUUUUAUUUUGACCUCGGAUCAGGUAGGGAUACCCGCUGAACUUAAGC